AACAAACGCUGGCGGCGUGCCUAACACAUGCAAGUCGUACGAGAAAGUCGGCUUCGGCCGAUGAGUACAGUGGCGCACGGGUGAGUAGCGGCGUGGGUAAUCCUGCCCCCCCGGUCAGGAAUAACCCGCCGAAAGGCGGGCUAAUACCCGAUAACACUGACGCUCCGCGGAGCGUCUUUCAAAGAAGGCCUCUGUUUACAAGCUUUCGCCGGAGGAUGAGCCCGCGUACCAUUAGCUAGUUGGCAGGGUAAUGGCCUACCAAGGCUACGAUGGUUAGCUGGUCUGAGAGGAUGGCCAGCCACACUGGAACUGAGACACGGUCCAGACUCCUACGGGAGGCAGCAGUGAGGAAUCUUGCGCAAUGGGGGAAACCCUGACGCAGCAACGCCGCGUGAGUGAGGAAGGCCUUCGGGUCGUAAAGCUCUGUCAGAUGGGAAGAAAUGGAUGGGGGCUAAUAUCGCCCAUCCUUAACGGUACCAUCAGAGGAAGCACCGGCUAACUCCGUG
Molecule: ribosomal RNA, 506 nt
Filed under: uncultured bacterium
Lineage: Bacteria
Description: bacterial SSU rRNA
Rfam family: Bacterial small subunit ribosomal RNA
Source: RNAcentral